CCUACGGGAGGCAGCAGUGAGGAAUAUUGGUCAAUGGGCGAGAGCCUGAACCAGCCAAGUCGCGUGAGGGAGUACUGCCCUAUGGGUUGUAAACCUCUUUUGUCGGGGAGCAAAAGCCGGACGUGUCCGGCUGUGAGAGUACCCGAAGAAAAAGCAUCGGCUAACUCCGUGCCAGCAGCCGCGGUAAUACGGAGGAUGCGAGCGUUAUCCGGCUUUUUUGGGGUUAAAGAGUGCGCAGGCGGAUUUUUAAGGCAGCGGGCAAAUAGUGGGGCUCACCCCCAUCCAGCCG
This 289-nucleotide ribosomal RNA is filed under the name uncultured bacterium. Its description in RNAcentral is "partial 16S ribosomal RNA". It matches the Rfam family "Bacterial small subunit ribosomal RNA", at positions 338 to 625 of the family's 1533-position model. The record is from RNAcentral.